CCUACGGGGCGCAGCAGUGGGGAAUAUUGGACAAUGGGCGAAAGCCUGAUCCAGCCAUGCCGCGUGUGUGAAGAAGGCCUUCGGGUUGUAAAGCACUUUCAGUGGGGAAGAAAGCCUUGGGGCUAAUACCCUCGAGGAAGGACAUCACCCACAGAAGAAGCACCGGCUAACUCCGUGCCAGCAGCCGCGGUAAUACGGAGGGUGCGAGCGUUAAUCGGAAUUACUGGGCGUAAAGCGCGCGUAGGCGGUCUGAUAAGCCGGUUGUGAAAGCCCCGGGCUCAACCUGGGAACGGCAUCCGGAACUAUCAGGCUAGAGUGCAGGAGAGGAAGGUAGAAUUCCCGGUGUAGCGGUGAAAUGCGUAGAGAUCGGGAGGAAUACCAGUGGCGAAGGCGGCCUUCUGGACUGACACUGACGCUGAGGUGCGAAAGCGUGGGUAGCAAACAGGAUUAGAUACCCUGGUAGUC
RNAcentral lists this ribosomal RNA (465 nucleotides) under Vreelandella stevensii. RNAcentral's name for it is "partial 16S ribosomal RNA". It matches the Rfam family "Bacterial small subunit ribosomal RNA", at positions 338 to 795 of the family's 1533-position model. The record is from RNAcentral. Lineage: Bacteria; Pseudomonadati; Pseudomonadota; Gammaproteobacteria; Oceanospirillales; Halomonadaceae.